Balaenoptera musculus (blue whale) is the source of this 128-nucleotide small nuclear RNA. Lineage: Eukaryota; Metazoa; Chordata; Mammalia; Artiodactyla; Balaenopteridae. The record is from Ensembl.
ACCAUCCUUUUCCUGGGGUUGCGCUACUGUCCGAUGAGCGUGUAGCGAGGGCAGUACUGCUAACGCCUAAGAAAAAAAAAAAAAAACCUACAGCAGGGACUUCCCUGGCGGUCCAGUGGUUAGGACGU